AGAUUACUCCAUCUUCUCUGUGGGCCAACAGGGGGUUGCACAGCCCCCUCCAGCCCAGCAGAAUAAGACACCCUCCCCCUGCAAAGAUGUCUCUAUAUUUGCAGCUGGGAAAAAUCGUUUGGCUAAAGUCUUGAUACCCCUUGUGCGCAAAAAAAUGAAGUCAGAAUGCAUAGAUCCUGACGUUUUCCUUGCUAAGAAGUGACCUCUGCAAUUUGAAAAAUAUUUUCUGAAAUUCAUUUUCAUUCUUUCCCUUGUUUUCUAUAUACAUUUUUAAAUUCUUCAAGCAUUAUAAAAUAAUAAAAUCAUUUUAUCA
This is a non-coding RNA of Oncorhynchus mykiss (rainbow trout), 313 nucleotides long. Lineage: Eukaryota; Metazoa; Chordata; Actinopteri; Salmoniformes; Salmonidae. The record is from RefSeq and is a predicted model, not a curated record.